RNAcentral lists this long non-coding RNA (333 nucleotides) under Salvia miltiorrhiza (redroot sage). RNAcentral describes it as "long non-coding RNA (SMIL_LNC013058)". Lineage: Eukaryota; Viridiplantae; Streptophyta; Magnoliopsida; Lamiales; Lamiaceae. The record is from RNAcentral.
GUAAAUACCAGCUUUUCAGUAGAAGGAACAUUUUAUUUUCUGAAAGCAAUGCCAUUCUAGUAAAACAAAAGGAAAUGAAAAAGAGUGUGUGUUGAUUUAUCAGUAGAAUGAUUAAGGUUUAAGGCCACAAAUGUUGAAUUUGAAUUUACCACAAUACAGUUUUUAAAUUUACUUAUUUAAUUAGUAUUAUUUUAUCAAAAGAAAAUAUGAAAAAGAAAAGGAAAAAAGAGAGAAACUUUAAAGGAAAUGGGAAGGGUUGGACCAGCAAAGGAUAUUGAAAGGGAAAGCAGUGGCGCACGUGCACGUGCAACCCCACAAUCCACAUGGGGACUU